GACCUGGCGGCAGGCCUAACACAUGCAAGUCGAGCGGAAACGAGAAGUAGCUUGCUACUUCGGCGUCGAGCGGCGGACGGGUGAGUAAUGCCUAGGAAGUUGCCCAGUAGAGGGGGAUAACCAUUGGAAACGAUGGCUAAUACCGCAUAUUCUCUUUGGAGCAAAGCAGGGGACCUUCGGGCCUUGCGCUAUUGGAUACGCCUAGGUGGGAUUAGCUAGUUGGUGAGGUAAUGGCUCACCAAGGCAACGAUCCCUAGCUGGUCUGAGAGGAUGAUCAGCCACACUGGAACUGAGACACGGUCCAGACUCCUACGGGAGGCAGCAGUGGGGAAUAUUGCACAAUGGGCGAAAGCCUGAUGCAGCCAUGCCGCGUGUAUGAAGAAGGCCUUCGGGUUGUAAAGUACUUUCAGUCGUGAGGAAGGGGGUAAGCUUAAUACGCUUAUCUCUUGACGUUAGCGACAGAAGAAGCACCGGCUAACUCCGUGCCAGCAGCCGCGGUAAUACGGAGGGUGCGAGCGUUAAUCGGAAUUACUGGGCGUAAAGCGCAUGCAGGUGGUUCAAUAAGUCAGAUGUGAAAGCCCGGGGCUCAACCUCGGAACUGCAUUUGAAACUGUUGGACUAGAGUACUGUAGAGGGGGGUAGAAUUUCAGGUGUAGCGGUGAAUGCGUA
RNAcentral lists this ribosomal RNA (669 nucleotides) under Vibrio sp. W027. RNAcentral's name for it is "SSU rRNA". It matches the Rfam family "Bacterial small subunit ribosomal RNA", at positions 32 to 692 of the family's 1533-position model. The record is from RNAcentral. Lineage: Bacteria; Pseudomonadati; Pseudomonadota; Gammaproteobacteria; Vibrionales; Vibrionaceae.